Molecule: ribosomal RNA, 304 nt
Filed under: uncultured soil bacterium
Lineage: Bacteria
Description: bacterial SSU rRNA
Rfam family: Bacterial small subunit ribosomal RNA
Source: RNAcentral
AGAUUGAACGCUGGCGGCAGGCCUAACACAUGCAAGUCGAGCGGCAGCACGGGUACUUGUACCUGGUGGCGAGCGGCGGACGGGUGAGUAAUGCCUAGGAAUCUGCCUGGUAGUGGGGGAUAACGCUCGGAAACGGACGCUAAUACCGCAUACGUCCUACGGGAGAAAGCAGGGGACCUUCGGGCCUUGCGCUAUCAGAUGAGCCUAGGUCGGAUUAGCUAGGUUGGUGGGUAAUGGCUCACCAAGGCGACGAUCCGUAACUGGUCUGAGAGGAUGAUCAGUCACACUGGAACUGAGACACGGU